AAAAAGACAAACCAUGGGUUUCCGUGUCCAACUUUGAUUGUCCGUCUUAUAUGAAUUUUUUUUAUAAUUCGUAUUUUUAUUAUUGUUAGAUGAUAAAACAUGAUUAAUAUUUUAUGCGUGACUUGUCUUUUUAGUUUUUUUUAUAAUUUUUUCAAAUAAGACGGACGGUCAAACGUUGGGCAAGGAAACCAAGGUUUGUCUUUUUU
Molecule: non-coding RNA, 206 nt
Organism: Oryza nivara
Lineage: Eukaryota; Viridiplantae; Streptophyta; Magnoliopsida; Poales; Poaceae
Source: Rfam